UCUCUCAAUUCGGCAGCACAUAUACUAAAAUUACAAUGAUACAGAUAAGAUUAGCAUGGCCCCUGUACAAGGAUGACAUGCAAAUUUAUGAAGCAUUCCAUAUUUUU
This 107-nucleotide small nuclear RNA is filed under the name Peromyscus maniculatus bairdii (prairie deer mouse). The record is from RNAcentral. Lineage: Eukaryota; Metazoa; Chordata; Mammalia; Rodentia; Cricetidae.